Long non-coding RNA from Nerophis ophidion (straightnose pipefish), 1081 nucleotides. RefSeq lists it as uncharacterized. Lineage: Eukaryota; Metazoa; Chordata; Actinopteri; Syngnathiformes; Syngnathidae. The record is from RefSeq and is a predicted model, not a curated record. The transcript has 4 exons.
CGGAGACGACAGACUUGAUGGAUUCAGUGGAGCGGCUAUGCUGGAAGGCGUCUGACACGUCAAAAUCCUCCACCGUCAGCAUGUCCUGCAGCGUUUGCAUGGUGGCGUCCAAGGUCUUUCUCACCUGCAGGGAGCGUGGACAAGGAAAACAGAUGUCAAACACUUCCUGUUUUAUACCUGCACAAUGACAGUACUACGCCUGGGCUGGCGGUCCUCGUGGCGCAGGAGGUUGACGUUGAGAUCUCCUGACUUGCUGAACUGCUUCUCCUCUUGUUUCUCAGCAUCCUUCAGCUUACUCUCGGCGCUGAUGCUCUCUGUAUGGUACAUGUGGUUUCCUGUGAGCCACCAAAUAAUGCCAACUUCACCACUUCAACGUCUUUCAUCUUCUUGACAAACCACUGCCAGAGUUUCCAUUCUGCGAUGAGGUGGCGACUUAUCCAGGGUGUACCCCACCUAUCGCCCGAAUGCAGCUGAGAUAGACGCCAGCGACCCCCCGCAACCCCAGAAGGGACAAGCGGUAGAAAAUGGAUGGAUGGAUGGAUGGAGUUUCCAUUUCCGAGUGCCGGGCGCACAGACACACACCUAGAGGAAGGUGUGCAAGGUGUGUGCAGGCUCUGAAUGUUUGUAUAAGACCUCAGUCAUCUCUGCUAUGUGCUGACAAAAUGCUGCGAACACUCAUUGGAACCCUGCUAAAUAUUUGGAUAACCCCUCAACUUUUCUGAUGCCAUUUCAGCUGCCUUUGGUCCGGACCAGGAGAUCACUAACCACUUUAUUAGGUACACCAGCACAACUAAAUGGUUGUGGUUAUAGUGGUGCGAUGUAACCUACAACCCCAAAUAUAUCAAAACUAGGGGUGUCCCGAUCCAUUAUGGAUAUUAGGGAUGUAACACUACAAACAUUUCAUGUCACUGUGACAAACAUUAUCACGGUUAUUAUUAUUGCGGUAUUGUUGAAUGUGCUCAAAAAGUACUGGUACAUACACUGAAAUAAUAACUACUGGUAAGAUAAAUAGACAACUAUUUUGCAUGUUUUGUGUUUCUUAUCAGAAUGCGUCUACUAACGUAUUAAAUUUGGAAUUUUA